Small nucleolar RNA from Fukomys damarensis (Damara mole-rat), 137 nucleotides. The record is from Ensembl. Lineage: Eukaryota; Metazoa; Chordata; Mammalia; Rodentia; Bathyergidae.
GUCUUCCUGGUGUUUAUGAUGGACUUUAUUAUUACACUGACUAUUCUAUACAGAAAGAGGAAAUGCACUGACUCUACCCUCAAUCUAUCUCAGCACAGGCCUGACACCCAGUCUGUAUUAUGAAGGAGGAGUAAUGG